RNAcentral lists this ribosomal RNA (254 nucleotides) under uncultured bacterium. RNAcentral's name for it is "partial 16S ribosomal RNA". It matches the Rfam family "Bacterial small subunit ribosomal RNA", at positions 524 to 776 of the family's 1533-position model. The record is from RNAcentral.
UACGUAGGGUGCAAGCGUUAUCCGGAAUUAUUGGGCGUAAAGAGCUCGUAGGCGGUUUGUCGCGUCUGCUGUGAAAACCCGAGGCUCAACCUCGGGCCUGCAGUGGGUACGGGCAGACUAGAGUGCGGUAGGGGAGAUUGGAAUUCCUGGUGUAGCGGUGGAAUGCGCAGAUAUCAGGAGGAACACCAAUGGCGAAGGCAGAUCUCUGGGCCGUGAACUGACGCUGAGGAGCGAAAGCAUGGGGAGCGAACAGG